CAGUGGGAUAGGUCGGGGAGCUAGGGGUUCUCUGCACCGCAAAUCCUCUUAGGGCGGGACCGAAUGGCCGGGCGAGGUUCGUCCUUUGCCGCGGGAUCCGCGCCGAAGCGUCGAAGCCCUGCCCCUAGAGAUGGGUUCCUGUGUGAACCGGGCCAGGCCGAAAGGAGCAACCCUAAAUACUUGUGCUCAUGCUUUGGGGUAACGGGGUGGAGCCUAGGUGCGGCCAAUCCUUCGGCCGAGGGCGCAUCGAACUCGGCAAUCCCAUUG
RNAcentral lists this signal recognition particle RNA (267 nucleotides) under Candidatus Burarchaeum sp. RNAcentral's name for it is "signal recognition particle sRNA". It matches the Rfam family "Archaeal signal recognition particle RNA". The record is from RNAcentral. Lineage: Archaea; Nanobdellati; Microcaldota; Candidatus Micrarchaeia; Candidatus Burarchaeales; Candidatus Burarchaeaceae.